UAUCCAGUGAAGCCUUUGGUCAGUGCCUUUGUCUGCUUUGGCUGCUAUGACAAAUAUCAUAGACGGGGUGACUCAAACAACAGAUAUUUCUUUCUCAUAGUUAUAGAGAUGGAAAAGUCCAGGAGCAGUGUGCUGCCUGAUUUGGUUCCUGGCGAGGGAUGUCUUCCUGGCUAGUAGAGGAAUGCCUUUUCUCUGUGUCCUUAGGCAGCAGGGAAACAGGGCUAUGGUUUCUUUCCCUUCUUAUAAGGGCACUAGCCCUAUUGGAUUAGGGCCUCACCCUCAUUUAACCUUAAUUACCUCCUUAUAGGCUCUAUUUCUAAAUACAGUCGCAUUGGAAGUUAGGCUUUUGAAUUUUGAAUUUUGAAGGAACAAAAUUGAGUCCAUCAAAGUCAAGAUAACUUGGGAUUGAACUCUUUACAUGAAGUCCUGAGGAAGCUCAGAAAACAAGAAAUUAAAAGCUUCUGAGGCUGAUGUGCUACCCACAAAGCACUAUUUGUGCUUCCUAGGGAAGACAUUGAUAUUUCCCAACCUUUCUAGGAUUUAUUUCCAAGGAGCCCAGAGAGAGGAGCUAUAAUGAAGAGCAACUUAAGAACUCUGUUACUGGAAAAAUAAAAGAAAAUUAACAUCCCUACUCAAGACUAGUUGUAUAUAUCGCUGCUCGAAAUACAUAAAAAUAAGUGAAAAUAAGCUGGUCUUGGUAGCAUGUGCCUGUAGUCCCAGCUACUUGUGAGGAUGAGGUGAAAAAAUUGCUUGAGCUCGAGAGUUCAAGACCAGUAUGGGCAACAUAGUGAGACAUCAUCUGAAGAAAAAAUUGGCAAAAAUAUUUUGUGAUUUAGGUAUUUAUAUGUAAUGUUAAUGUAUGUAUUCUAAGUAUGCCCUCUUUGUUUCUUCAUACUUUAAUAAAGGAUUCAUGAAGUCAGUA
This is a non-coding RNA of Chlorocebus sabaeus (green monkey), 922 nucleotides long. Lineage: Eukaryota; Metazoa; Chordata; Mammalia; Primates; Cercopithecidae. The record is from RefSeq and is a predicted model, not a curated record.